UCCCUGGUAGCUCAGAGGUUAAAGCGUCUGCCUGCAAUGCAGGAGAUCUGGGUUCGAUCCCUGGGUUGGGAA
This 72-nucleotide transfer RNA is filed under the name Bos taurus (domestic cattle). It matches the Rfam family "tRNA". Rfam says of the family: Transfer RNA (tRNA) molecules are approximately 80 nucleotides in length. The record is from Rfam by way of RNAcentral. Lineage: Eukaryota; Metazoa; Chordata; Mammalia; Artiodactyla; Bovidae. RNAcentral also lists the same sequence under 2 other names.